RNAcentral lists this non-coding RNA (45 nucleotides) under Schistosoma mattheei. Lineage: Eukaryota; Metazoa; Platyhelminthes; Trematoda; Strigeidida; Schistosomatidae. The record is from RNAcentral.
GUGCAGAUGAUAAGUCCCAAAUAGGACGAAACACGCGUCCUGGAU